RNAcentral lists this ribosomal RNA (430 nucleotides) under uncultured bacterium. Its description in RNAcentral is "bacterial SSU rRNA". It matches the Rfam family "Bacterial small subunit ribosomal RNA", at positions 355 to 776 of the family's 1533-position model. The record is from RNAcentral.
UGGGGAAUUUUGCGCAAUGGGGGAAACCCUGACGCAGCAACGCCGCGUGAGUGAUGAAGGCCUUCGGGUCGUAAAGCUCUGUCAGAGGGAAAGAAAUGCAGAUGCGCUAAUAUCGCGACUGCUUGACGGUACCCUCAAAGGAAGCACCGGCUAACUCCGUGCCAGCAGCCGCGGUAAUACGGAGGGUGCGAGCGUUAAUCGGAAUUACUGGGCGUAAAGCGUGCGCAGGCGGUUAUAUAAGACAGAUGUGAAAUCCCCGGGCUCAACCUGGGACCUGCAUUUGUGACUGUAUAGCUAGAGUACGGUAGAGGGGGAUGGAAUUCCGCGUGUAGCAGUGAAAUGCGUAGAUAUGCGGAGGAACACCGAUGGCGAAGGCAGCCUCCUGGGAUAAUACUGACGCUCAUGCACGAAAGCGUGGGGAGCAAACAGG